UAGAUGAAUAGCCUUUGAAACCACUUUACAAAAUUUUCCAAACUAUUCUGAAGCACAUUUCACACCUGUAAUGGAAACAAACAAUCAACUAUUUAAAUGGUAUUUUCUUCCCACCGAGUUAGUAGACACCUGGAAAGUGUUGUUUUUAAAACUCUUGAAUGUACUGGAUGAUUUUCUGUUUUGAUCGAAGUAGGAUCAAUUAUGAAUAACUUAAAACUAGGAUAAAAAUCCUUGUAAGUCUUUCUCCCACAGUCUUUGCCUUUGAAAAUAAUCAACAUAGUUACUCGUUCAAUUUUGCUUCCUGUAGACUGGUGAUCAGCAAGCAGUUUUCUGUACCGUUAAGAGACCGCACGACUUGGCUGUCUUUUGUAUGGUUAAUAUUGUUAUAUUUCUUGUUUUGCAGCUAUGUGUGAUAUUGGAACCAAUGCAAGAGCUGAUGUCAAGGCAUAAAGCGUAUGCAUUAUCUCCAAGAGAUUGUCUGAAAACGACGCUUUUUUCAAAAGUGGCAGCGCAUGGUGGCUCCGCCUGGUAAGCGAGAAUCACAAAGGCCGGCAAGUAAAAGGCGGAAACGAAAGGCUCACAGUCAGGAGGUGCAGCUAAUAACACUCCACCUGUUCCUAAUAAAAACGUUCUCCGGGUCCCUAAUUUUUCUCUGGCGUCUCAGGAUGUCAUGGUGGUGGGGGAGCCGUCACUGAUGGGCGGAGAGUUUGGUGAGGAAGACGAGCGCAUGAUCACUCGAUUAGAGAAUACGCAGUACGACGCUGCAAAUUCGCUGGAGCAUGAUGCGCCGCAUGGUUUUUCCUGACCCGCCCAAUUCAUGGACGGACCGGCCGUCGACACAAGGCAACACGCCCUCAAGUCAAGACUCAGACAAGAAGUCGCCUGCUGUGAGCCAGUGAUAUCCUUUUAGUGUCCAUAUUCUGUUUCAAAUUUCAAAUUUAUUUUGUUUUCAUUUGCUAGUGAAUUUCCUUUCAGUGCAGUUUGUAGCGCUGUGUGGUCUCAAGAUCAGUUUCUUCGUCUCUGAACAACUUGUGCUAUUAAUGUAUCAGUUCUAUCUCUCCACGAUCAGUACCCACCUCAUCAUGUCAACGCAAGUUGUGCAAUUUUUAACCUAUUCUCUGUUGCUGAAAAGAAUAGUGUAAGGUGUUCUGUAGUGUUUCCACAUCACUUGCAUGUCAAUUGAACAGCAGUGUAUUCAUUGCAUGUAGAUGCAAAAUUUUGCUGCAGGAAUAGAAGUUAUCUUCCUCAAAAGCACAUCAUGGUCUCAAAUUUCAACAGUACAAAAUUGAUGGGUACCCUUGUUAGGUUAUAUAGUUAUUUAGACCUCUAACUUCUAAUCGCAGCAAAAUUCUAUUAUUAUGUUGGAAUUUUUUUUUCUCCGCUAACGUGCGUUAAAAACUCAGCAUUAAGCUGAAAUUCUCACUACAGAGGGAAUAACUCAUCGGAGUACUGGAUUCCCUCAAAGAGAUAUGCUGUUUGGAGCAACCCUUUUUUAACGCACGUUAGCGGAAAAAAAAAAUUCCAACAUACUAAUGACCGGUGCGUCCACCGCAAUCAGUUUGUGUGAAAAUUCUAUCAUAAUUUACACAGACAAUUUUAGCAGCAGAGCAUUGGACUAAGUAGCUGAUUUUAUUAUUGUUGCAAAUUUCUAAUAAAAUUCUAUCAUCUCUUUUUUGGUUUAUGUAUAAUUGAUAGUUUAUCACCUCUUUAAAGGUUUUUUUUUUUUUUUUUUUUUUUUUUUAAUCAUUGGGAUGUAUUCAGGUCAGAAUCGCUAUAAUUUGAUUUUGAAAGUAUUUUUUCUGUGCAUUGAGUCAUUAUUUUAAAUAUUAUCACCGAUUUUUCUCAGAUUCCUGUCUUGGAAUUUUUACAUUAUUAGAAGUUGUUAAUACCCACUAUAGGAAAAUUGUGAACCACCGUAUCGAAUUGUUUACAUUCAACUAACGGUUGUAGCCUAGUUGCUGAGACCUACCACUCAAAUAUUCAAGAGAAAAUGUCAUUGUUUUUUUUAAUUUCAUCCAGCCAAAAAUACUCUGUAAUAAAACUGUUUUGUGAUGAAAAUUUUGAAACGGUUUUUUAGUUUUUGACUUAUUUCUGUUAUUUGAAUGAAAUUAUUAUUAGAUAUGACGAAACAUGUUACACCUGUGUACAGAUACUUAUCUGUAAGCAUCAUUUUUAAGUAUCUGAAUUUUUUUACUACUUUCUUCCUGCUAUUUGGUUCAAAUAAGCGCCAUUUUCCCUUAUUAUUUUCACUGCUGCUGUAACUGAGCUCUAAUACUAAAGAUUUUUACUUCAAAUCAGUAUGUCACUUUCUUUAAUGUAUCUCAAAGAGCACAAAUCAAUGAAAUUCUGAAAGUUGAUUCAGUUUUAAUUUCUAUGUCUUCUAAGUUAGAAACCUCAAAUUUCAGCCAAGGUAUAGAUGAUUUUUGGGUUGCUUUCAUAAAUCAGUUUGGACCAAAGUUCACAUUUACGUUUUUAAAACAUUUUUUUUCUCUCUCCAUGAAUCCCAUGGCAAUCAUUUUGUAACCGUUAUUUUCUUGUCAAUCUCUUUUUACACAGAGACUGGUUUAUUUUUAUUUUGGAGAAUUUUAUUAUUUCUGUUAUCCUUUUUAGCUAACGACGGACCGCAACUAAAAUCAUAGAUUUUUUUAAUUUUUCGCGAUAAGUUGUUUAUUUUCCAUUCCCCUUACAUUUUGCUCCUAUUAAUCAAAUUUUAUCACAGAUUUGGCUCUGUAAGUACAUUCAGAUCUUGCAUCGCUCUUUUUUCCUUUUUUAACUUAUUAUACCCCUUCCAAGAUGGAUGCAGUGCAAACUUGGCCUCUGCCUUUUUUAAUCAUAUAAUCUCUAAUGAAACUUACUAUUUCUAUUAACUUUAUAGUAAUAUUUUCAUUACGUAAUGUUCUAAAUCUGGAACAUUCUUUAAUGCUGAGUUUCAGUAUCAUAUCUUUAUCCUAAGUGGAAAAAUUAUUUGGCUGCAUCCAAGUACUGUCUAAAUUAAUUUCGCAAAAAUGCAUGAUUAAUUUUGAUAGAAUAAACUAUCUUAUUUAUUUUAUGGAAGCAUUAAUGCAAUGUGCAAUUUCAAUCAGUCUUUUUUACAUUUUUUUUUCUGCUAAAACCAACCAGUUUAUCUUAAUUUUAACAUGGAUCUGUUAUGCUCUAAGUUUCUAUUUUGAAUCCAUUUAAUCUCAUCUCAGUUUAUCAACAAAAACUCGACCAAAUCUUAGCCAAACUUCAAAAAGUUUUUCAUAUUAUCUCGACUUCAAGUUGAUCCUUUUUCUACAAUGGUUGUCGUUGAAACGACAAAGCAAAAAAAUUACAUAUUAACGAAGAACUGUAUUUUUGUGGCACAAUUUUUUAGCAACUGAAUUAUCAAUUGUAAUUACUACGCUGUACGAAUAUUGUGUCUUGUAUAUACUUGUACAGAUUACCAAAAUUUGAAUAAGUAGCAAUUCUGUAAAUCACCUCUCGACUUUAUUUUUUGUUUCUUGAUCUUUUUAUCUGUAUCUUCUUUUCUCUGGGAUCCAAUUUUUGAUAUUCAGCAAGCUCCAAAUUAGUUGAAUAUUUUUUUAAUCAUAGAUAAUUAAUGUGCUAUAAGUUCUUGUAAACUGUUUGAACUCUUCCCAUAGAAAACCUUAGUAGAUGUACCAGCAAGUACCAGUUUUUUGGAGGUUUUGAGUGACUGGAAUAAUUCUUGUAAAGCUAUCGUUCCUUGUGUUGCAUGAAUUGUUGAAGGACCAAACGCACAUACUGCUAGGCGGUGUCCCAUUAUGAACACAAUUAUUACAGCUGCCUGUGGGAAGGGUUUCACUAUCCAUUUAUCUCGCAUCCGAAUAAAUGUAGAACCCAAAUAGCUGUAUUCAUUCAUUAAAUCAAAAGCGAAUUCCUGCAGAAGAGUGACAGGUUACUCAGUAAUGAAUUGUGUAAUGAUAAUGAAAAAAGGCCCUGUGAACUCGAUGACUAGGAAAAAAUGUUUCUAAGGGUUUUUUAUUUUCAGUGAAAGCGGUAAGAUAGCUUGUUAAGUAAUUAGUAAAAGCUCCAAGGGCGGUAUUCAUAGUUGUUCCUCAGACAGCUCCUUGCCCGAGGAAGGUCUCAUAUAGUUUAUAUGGUGAUCAAGUGAGAUUAAGGCAGCCCUAAACAUAGUAUCAUUACAAAGACAAUUUUUGUUGACCUAUGGUAAUAUUUAACAGUGCAACUCCAUAAAUGGAUCCUCAGGAGGGGUUUAAGAAAGUAAUUUGUUCUAGUUAAAAUUACAAAAUCUGAAGUAAAAAUUCCAUGAUUUCAACAAACUUAAGAUAGGUGCACACUCACCUUAGAAUUUACCACACUCGCAAUAUAUUUGUCUUUUCUUUUGUAUUGGCAAAUCAUCAUAAUCCCCUGCAAGGAUCUAUCGACAGAGUUAUACUCCUGAAUUUUACUUCGGGUUUGUAAACAUUGUCAUUUUUACAAUGGAACGUUCAAGGCUUCCUCGAGCCACCCUUAACCGCUUGAUGUCCCCCUAUGCAAAGGAGCUGUUUAAGAAACAAAUGACGAUGAAUGUAUGAAGAUGGCCAUCAGAAUUGGUAGCAU
Molecule: long non-coding RNA, 4563 nt
Filed under: Bemisia tabaci
Lineage: Eukaryota; Metazoa; Arthropoda; Insecta; Hemiptera; Aleyrodidae
Description: lncRNA ENSSWEETPG006314
Source: RNAcentral